RNAcentral lists this ribosomal RNA (254 nucleotides) under uncultured bacterium. RNAcentral's name for it is "partial 16S ribosomal RNA". It matches the Rfam family "Bacterial small subunit ribosomal RNA", at positions 524 to 776 of the family's 1533-position model. The record is from RNAcentral.
UACGGAGGAUCCAAGCGUUAUCCGGAUUCAUUGGGUUUAAAGGGUGCGUAGGCGGAAUGAUAAGUCAGCGGUGAAAUCCCUCGGCUUAACCGAGGAACUGCCGUUGAUACUGUCAAUCUUGAGUACAUUUGAUGUGGGCGGAAUGUGUCAUGUAGCGGUGAAAUGCUUAGAUAUGACACAGAACACCGAUUGCGAAGGCAGCUCACAAAACUGUAACUGACGCUGAGGCACGGAAAGCGUGGGUAUCAAACAGG